UUUUCUUUUCUUUUCUUUUUCCUUUUUUCUUUCUUUCUUUUUUUUUUGCUGCGUCCCUGGCCGGCGCUUCCGCAGGCGGGAGCCGGAGCGCCCAGCAGAAAGUAGAGACAUUUCAAAAAGAUUUUCAUAUGGUUGAUGACCUGGAAAAAAAAAAGAAGGUAAACUGUGAUCCCAGUAGAAAAGCUCUUUUCCCACCUGGUGCCUUCCAAGUUGGCCACUUUGGCUGAGAUAUUUUGGGAUGGAAGCUGGAAGGCAGCAAUUGCUAAGAUCAUUGUUUACUUUCCUUGUACAACCAAACACCUUUGGCGACAUAAUGUCUGGCUGCAUAAAGAAGUUUCCAACUAUCGUGUUCACUUCCUUUGCAUAUGUUGCGUGCAAAAUACAGGCUUUGUCACCAAAGUAUAAUCCAGCAAGCCAGGGGUGACCAAAUUCAAAUCUAUUUGAAAAGAACAAGCCUACAGAUUAUCUGGUUGCUCUGACCUAUGGAGAUUCUCAGAUGACCUGUUGCAGCGAGUGAGCACAGCUAAUAAUCUGGAACUGGAUCUUACUCCAAAAAAAAGCCAUAGAUCAGCAGUAGAUUAUAUGCUUUGCGUGCAGAAAUUCCCAAGAUCGAUUUCCUGAUAUUUCCAGGUAAACCUGAGCCAAAAAAUUAAAUAAAUAAACAUUCCACCUAAGCUGCUCCAAGUCAAUACCAAUUGCUCUUCUUUGAGCAUCAUAAGCAUGUUUUGCUUGGAAGAGGCUCUUUGUGCAAUCAACCUAUGAAAUGACAUGCCUCUAGGUUCCAUUUUGUGACGAUGGCAGAUCAAGAUUACAGAAUCCUUAAUAGUGCAGAAUUGGGUGGUCCUCAGUCUAAGGUUGGCUCCUAAAAGCCUCUCGAUCCUUUUGGUUGGAAUAACUGCAAUUCUUUUGUGUGUUUUAGGAAUGGGGUCGCUUUUGUGAUAAAACUGUGGAUCAUUGCCCAAACUUGAUAGUGGAGUUCUGAACUAUUAUGAUGACAACUGAGUAUCUUAUUAGGAAGUGUGCUAGGAAAGUAAAUAUGGGAGGAAGGCAACUGCCAUGCUUCUGUUUUCCCAGGUCCCUUUGUUGGACACCUUCAACUUAUUUCUAAGAGGACCAUUUUUCUUCCUGUGGAGCAGUGAGGGUGGACUAGUUUAGAUAAUGAGAUGAUUAACAACUUCCAUUUACUUCAGUGGGCCUACUCUGAGCAUGCCUGAAUUUGGAUCCAGCCAAAAGAGCUUAGAGGAAUUACUUCAUGAUGUCAACAAAGACAUAUUAAUAUGUCAACAGAUCUUGUGUUGGCAAAAUAUAUGAAAUAAAACUCACCAAACACAACUGUAAGGUCUUUGUGAACUUCUGAAAAGUUAAGAAAUGCAAAUGACGUACCUAAUGGUGCAGGCUGUAAAUGGGGUGAGUCAAAUCUCUCUCCUGCUUCCAAGAUAGAUUAUUAGGCUAUUAAAUUCCUUUUGGCAUCCUACUUUUUUCUAUGAAAUGUAUUGCUUAAUGAAUCCUUAAACAUCUGUUCUGUGAUCCUGUUGGACACUUUUUAUGGCAUCCGCUUUCCAAGUAUAGGAUUAGCCACCUGGCAUUGUUUUAAAAAGUUAUCCUACCUUUAUUAGAGAGGAUGGAGCAAGGAUUAAUCCUGUUGUAAUAAUAUAAUUUUCCAAAGAGACAGACUGUUGCUUUCCACCUUCCUUUGCUUAUACAAAGGAGAAAUAUUUAUUCACAAUUGUUGUGAUUAUAGCAUGAUGAUUAUACAUGAGCAAUAUUAGUAGUAAUAUUAAAUGCUACU
Long non-coding RNA from Python bivittatus (Burmese python), 1789 nucleotides. RefSeq lists it as uncharacterized. Lineage: Eukaryota; Metazoa; Chordata; Lepidosauria; Squamata; Pythonidae. The record is from RefSeq and is a predicted model, not a curated record.